Molecule: non-coding RNA, 137 nt
Organism: Gossypium raimondii (Peruvian cotton)
Lineage: Eukaryota; Viridiplantae; Streptophyta; Magnoliopsida; Malvales; Malvaceae
Source: Rfam
AGUUGAAAUUUUUAUCCAUUUAAUAAUUAGCAUGAGUAAUAGAAUAACUAGAUAGCUACAUAUGGCAUGCCACAUGUAUCUCAUGUCGACUUACAUGAAACAUAUUUUAACAAUAGAAAUAGAUGAAAUUUUUAACA